Molecule: ribosomal RNA, 295 nt
Filed under: uncultured Pseudomonas sp.
Lineage: Bacteria; Pseudomonadati; Pseudomonadota; Gammaproteobacteria; Pseudomonadales; Pseudomonadaceae
Description: partial 16S ribosomal RNA
Rfam family: Bacterial small subunit ribosomal RNA
Source: RNAcentral
CCCGUAACGAGCGCAACCCUUGUCCUUAGUUACCAGCACGGUUAUGGUGGGCACUCUAAGGAGACUGCCGGUGACAAACCGGAGGAAGUGGGAUGACGUCAAGUCAUCAUGGCCCUUACGGCCUGGGCUACACACGUGCUACAAUGGUCGGUACAAAGGGUUGCCAAGCCGCGAGGUGGAGCUAAUCCCAUAAACCGAUCGUAGUCCGGAUCGCAGUCUGCAACUCGACUGCGUGAAGUCGGAAUCGCUAGUAAUCGUGAAUCAGAAUGUCACGGUGAAUACGUUCCCGGGCCUU